UACCUACGGGGCGCAGCAGUGAGGAAUAUUGGUCAAUGGGCGGGAGCCUGAACCAGCCAAGUCGCGUGAGGGAAGACGGUCCUAUGGAUUGUAAACCUCUUUUGUCGGGGAGCAAAGAGGCCACGUGUGGUCAAAAGCGAGAGUACCCGAAGAAAAAGCAUCGGCUAACUCCGUGCCAGCAGCCGCGGUAAUACGGAGGAUGCGAGCGUUAUCCGGAUUCAUUGGGUUUAAAGGGUGCGCAGGCGGGCCUUUAAGCCGGCGGUGAAAUCGCGGGGCUCAACCCCGGCGAGCCGUCGGAACUGGGG
Molecule: ribosomal RNA, 305 nt
Filed under: uncultured bacterium
Lineage: Bacteria
Description: bacterial SSU rRNA
Rfam family: Bacterial small subunit ribosomal RNA
Source: RNAcentral